RNAcentral lists this ribosomal RNA (458 nucleotides) under uncultured bacterium. RNAcentral describes it as "bacterial SSU rRNA". It matches the Rfam family "Bacterial small subunit ribosomal RNA", at positions 30 to 480 of the family's 1533-position model. The record is from RNAcentral.
AUUGAACGCUGGCGGCAGGCCUAACACAUGCAAGUCGAGCGGAUGAGUGGAGCUUGCUCCAUGAUUCAGCGGCGGACGGGUGAGUAAUGCCUAGGAAUCUGCCUGGUAGUGGGGGACAACGUUUCGAAAGGAACGCUAAUACCGCAUACGUCCUACGGGAGAAAGCAGGGGACCUUCGGGCCUUGCGCUAUCAGAUGAGCCUAGGUCGGAUUAGCUAGUAGGUGAGGUAAUGGCUCACCUAGGCGACGAUCUGUAACUGGUCUGAGAGGAUGAUCAGUCACACUGGAACUGAGACACGGUCCAGACUCCUACGGGAGGCAGCAGUGGGAAUAUUGGGACAAUGGGCGAAAGCCUGAUCCAGCCAUGCCGCGUGUGUGAAGAAAGGUCUUCGGAUUGUAAGCACUUUAAGUUGGGAGGAAGGGUAGGUAACCUAAUACGUUGCUACUUUGACGUUACCG